AAAGUCGUAACAAGGUCUCCGUUGGUGAACCAGCGGAGGGAUCAUUACAGAGCUUAACAACUCCCAAACCCCUGUGAACAUACCACCGUUGCUUCGGCGGGUACGCCCCGGGCGCGCGCAAGCGUGCCCCGGAACCAGGCGCCCGCCGGGGGAAACAAACUCUUGUCUUACUUUUGUAUCGUCUGAGUGGAUUAUUAAAUAAAUCAAAACUUUCAACAACGGAUCUCUUGGCUCUG
This 236-nucleotide unclassified non-coding RNA is filed under the name Ascomycota sp. RNAcentral's name for it is "partial contains small subunit ribosomal RNA, internal transcribed spacer 1, and 5.8S ribosomal RNA". The stretch from base 1 to 47 matches the Rfam family "Eukaryotic small subunit ribosomal RNA", at positions 1785 to 1831 of the family's 1831-position model. The record is from RNAcentral. Lineage: Eukaryota; Fungi; Ascomycota.